Molecule: ribosomal RNA, 943 nt
Filed under: Faucicola osloensis
Lineage: Bacteria; Pseudomonadati; Pseudomonadota; Gammaproteobacteria; Moraxellales; Moraxellaceae
Description: bacterial SSU rRNA
Rfam family: Bacterial small subunit ribosomal RNA
Source: RNAcentral
GCCUAUUGGGGGCAGCAUUACACAUGCAGUCGACGAUGAUUCUCUAGCUUGCUAGAUAAGAUUAGUGGCGGACGGGCUGAGUAACAUUUAGGAAUCUGCCUAGUAGUGGGGGAUAGCUCGGGGAAACUCGAAUUAAUACCGCAUACGACCUACGGGUGAAAGGGGGCGCAAGCUCUUGCUAUUAGAUGAGCCUAAAUCAGAUUAGCUAGUUGGUGGGGUAAAGGCCCACCAAGGCGACGAUCUGUAACUGGUCUGAGAGGAUGAUCAGUCACACCGGAACUGAGACACGGUCCGGACUCCUACGGGAGGCAGCAGUGGGGAAUAUUGGACAAUGGGGGCAACCCUGAUCCAGCCAUGCCGCGUGUGUGAAGAAGGCCUUUUGGUUGUAAAGCACUUUAAGCAGGGAGGAGAGGCUAAUGGUUAAUACCCAUUAGAUUAGACGUUACCUGCAGAAUAAGCACCGGCUAACUCUGUGCCAGCAGCCGCGGUAAUACAGAGGGUGCGAGCGUUAAUCGGAAUUACUGGGCGUAAAGCGAGUGUAGGUGGCUCAUUAAGUCACAUGUGAAAUCCCCGGGCUUAACCUGGGAACUGCAUGUGAUACUGGUGGUGCUAGAAUAUGUGAGAGGGAAGUAGAAUUCCAGGUGUAGCGGUGAAAUGCGUAGAGAUCUGGAGGAAUACCGAUGGCGAAGGCAGCUUCCUGGCAUAAUAUUGACACUGAGAUUCGAAAGCGUGGGUAGCAAACAGGAUUAGAUACCCUGGUAGUCCACGCCGUAAACGAUGUCUACUACCCGUUGGGGUCCUUGAGACUUUAGUGGCGCAUUUAACGCAUAAUAACCGCCUGGGGAGUACGGCCGCAGGUUAAACUCAAUGAAUUGACGGGGGCCCGCACAGCGGUGGGAGCAUGUGGUUUUAAUUCAUUGGCAACGCGAAAACCCUUACCUUG